AGAAAGCCAAAUUUUUCCCUACAUCAAGUGAUGGACUGACUGAAACUGCUACUACUAGCAAGAGUCCCUCAUCAGUGUUAAGUUCAUCUUUCCAAAAUAAUACAGACAGCAGUGAUUCUGAAGCUGGGGUGGAAGAAAUAGAGUUUACAAUUUCAGAUAAUGAGCAAGAAAAUGAGGAAAAUUUGAGUUUACUCAAAUCCAAAGGGCUUUCAUUAUCCCUGGCUUCACUAUACUCAGAUGCUGAUUUACAAAAAGUUAAACCUGACAGACAAAG
This is a long non-coding RNA of Saccostrea cuccullata (small rock oyster), 274 nucleotides long. RefSeq lists it as uncharacterized. NCBI's taxonomy places the organism in Eukaryota, Metazoa, Mollusca, Bivalvia, Ostreida, Ostreidae. The transcript is spliced from 5 exons. The record is from RefSeq and is a predicted model, not a curated record.